Molecule: ribosomal RNA, 519 nt
Filed under: uncultured prokaryote
Description: bacterial SSU rRNA
Rfam family: Bacterial small subunit ribosomal RNA
Source: RNAcentral
GGGGAAUAUUGCACAAUGGAGGAAACUCUGAUGCAGCGACGCCGCGUGAGGGAAGAAGGUUUUCGGAUUGUAAACCUCUGUCUUCGGGGACGAAACAAAUGACGGUACUCGAGGAGGAAGCCACGGCUAACUACGUGCCAGCAGCCGCGGUAAUACGUAGGUGGCAAGCGUUGUCCGGAAUUACUGGGUGUAAAGGGAGCGCAGGCGGAACUGCAAGUUGGGUGUUUAAUCUACGGGCUCAACCCGUAUCAGCAUUCAAAACUGUGGUUCUUGAGUAAUGCAGAGGUAGGCGGAAUUCCCGGUGUAGCGGUGGAAUGCGUAGAUAUCGGGAGGAACACCAGUGGCGAAGGCGGCCUACUGGGCAUCAACUGACGCUGAGGCUCGAAAGCAUGGGUAGCAAACAGGAUUAGAUACCCUGGUAGUCCAUGCUGUAAACGAUGAUUACUAGGUGUGGGGAGAUUGACCCUCUCCGUGCCGCAGUUAACACAAUAAGUAAUCCACCUGGGGAGUACGACCGCA